GUGCUCACUUUGGCAGCAUGUAGACUAAAACGGGAACGAUACAGAGAAUAUUUGCAUGGCUUCUGUGCACAAAUGACAUGCGAAUUCAUGGAAUGGUCCGAAUUGUU
RNAcentral lists this small nuclear RNA (107 nucleotides) under Procavia capensis (Cape rock hyrax). Lineage: Eukaryota; Metazoa; Chordata; Mammalia; Hyracoidea; Procaviidae. The record is from RNAcentral.